RNAcentral lists this ribosomal RNA (228 nucleotides) under uncultured bacterium. RNAcentral's name for it is "partial 16S ribosomal RNA". It matches the Rfam family "Bacterial small subunit ribosomal RNA", at positions 103 to 334 of the family's 1533-position model. The record is from RNAcentral.
CGGGUGAGUAAUACAUCGGAACGUGUCCAGUCGUGGGGGAUAACCAGUCGAAAGAUUGGCUAAUACCGCAUGCGCCCGAAAGGGGAAAGCGGGGGAUCGCAAGACCUCGCGCGAUUGGAGCGGCCGAUGUCCGAUUAGCUAGUUGGUGAGGUAACGGCUCACCAAGGCGACGAUCGGUAGCUGGUCUGAGAGGACGACCAGCCACACUGGGACUGAGACACGGCCCAG